GGUCCCUUCGUCUAUCGGCUAGGACGUUGCCCUUUCACGGCGAAAAGACGGGUUCGACUCCCGUAGGGACCA
RNAcentral lists this transfer RNA (72 nucleotides) under bacterium. RNAcentral describes it as "tRNA-Glu". It matches the Rfam family "tRNA". From Rfam's summary of the family: Transfer RNA (tRNA) molecules are approximately 80 nucleotides in length. Their secondary structure includes four short double-helical elements and three loops (D, anti-codon, and T loops). The record is from RNAcentral.